GAGUGAUGAGCAAAAAUGCAUAGUUCAGAUGAUCAAACCCUAGUGGUUAUGAUUACUUUGAAUAAAUAGUCUUUCGCUC
RNAcentral lists this small nucleolar RNA (79 nucleotides) under Oryza sativa (Asian cultivated rice). Its description in RNAcentral is "Small nucleolar RNA snR60/Z15/Z230/Z193/J17". It matches the Rfam family "Small nucleolar RNA snR60/Z15/Z230/Z193/J17", at positions 11 to 82 of the family's 98-position model. Rfam says of the family: The members of this family belong to the C/D class of snoRNAs which contain the C (UGAUGA) and D (CUGA) box motifs. Most of the members of the box C/D family function in directing site-specific 2'-O-methylation of substrate RNAs. The family includes the yeast snoRNA snR60 (also known as Z15) and the corresponding human guide snoRNA U80 (SNORD80). The record is from Rfam by way of RNAcentral. Lineage: Eukaryota; Viridiplantae; Streptophyta; Magnoliopsida; Poales; Poaceae.